UACUGCGACGAGAGGUAAGUGCUUCUUUUAUACCUUGAACGUUUACCUCUAGUUCUUAGAAGAAAUCUUUCACUUCCCCUUUAAGAAAGUGUGAUAACGUCGAGUGUUCUUCUUCUAUAACUCUUAGUCGUGUGGUAGUGUUCCCUUGAUCUUUACGAGUACCUUUCCGAUUCACUAGAAUCUUCUGUCUUAAACACAGAGUGUUUACUACUGCUUAAACUGAAAGGACUUAGAAGUUCUUUCAAUGGAAGCUUUCUUUACUUCACGAAGUUCACGUUUGUCAAGUCAGUAGAGUAUCGUAUGACAGGAACGACCCUAUCUUUUGGUUCGUUGUCUACCUACAUAGAAGUGCCUUUACCUAAAUGAGCUUACCUAGCAGUGUGAUUCGAGAGCUUCUUUUUACUUAGAAGGAGUAGGAGAAGCUACUCUGGUCAGUGACUGCACUUUCGGUCUCGUUGGUAGUUUAGACUAUACUUCUCUUAUAGUGCCGAUUUGUCUCGUACACGACUAUACUUGAACCUUAGACUUCUACUUUGAAGACUUAGUCUUAGUCUUCUACUUCUAGAAGUGUCUUCCUAUCCUUCUUCGUUACGAAAACACCGUAUACUUAGUAGAUUCCUUAGUGAGCUUAGUCUGUGACUACUGUAACGCAGUUCACUACUACUUGAUCAACGUAAGACAGAGUACCGUUUUUGGAGAUUCCUAGUCUAACGUUUUAGAGUUGUUCUACUCGAACUUUUUGAACUCUUGUUAGAAUCCUUUUGACUUCCUAAUGACCAGCUUGUCUACCUCUUCUUAGUUUUCAACUACUAACCGUGACUUUGAAGGAGCUUAUCUAUACCCAGUUUGGAAGCUGUCUUCCUCAUGUACGCAUGGAUGAGUUUAGUAAUACGAGUACAGAGAUCUUUGUUGAAGUUACGUAUAAGUAUACUAAUGAGAGCUUUAGGUGUCCACUUGAUAUCUAGAGUGGCUUCCUAACAGGGACGAGUCUGAUUCGUUUAUUCUACGAGCGACGGGUGCGUUCAGAGCAGCCGGAGGGGGCCUAGGCUAGGCUAGACGCCAUUUUUUUGCUCUUGCUACUGAUCGCUAAGGGGAGCGUGCUUGUUUUUUAGCCUGCUGCGGGAUCGGAGGGAGCGUGCUUUUUUUGGGAGGAGAGUUACGCCGCGACGGGGGUAGAGAGCGAGGCGGCGGUGGCGACGACGGAGGGAGGGCGAGUCGGUGGAGGUGGCGAGGGUGGGAAGAGGGGUAACAACCUAGGCGAACGUAUAGCAGUUCCAAUCCGCCGCUUCGAGGUGCAGGCGCUACGCGUGUACGAGUAGUUCCUUCGCCGAGGGUCUAGACUCCAGCGCCCCGGCACUGCCUUCCUCGAGCUCCACCGGCGACUUCUGGUUCGGGGGUGGUACACCGCAGCUCUUGCCGGCCGCCGUACCAUCCUACCUCCUCUUGCCGGACCUCAAGCACGAGCUAGACCACCAGUCCAAGGGUGAAGCCCUUCUCAAGCGGCUAUUGGAAUUCGUAAGACUAGGCCACGGCGAUUCCGACGGUGGGUCCCCCUCCGAUCGCGAGAACCGUACCUCCUAAGUUAACCAUAAACCAAAGCCGCACAAAGUCCAAUUCUAAUCUCUUACGUGGUGGCCUGUCUUGAGGCACGCGAAGUGCCUACUCGUGUGACCUCCACCACAGCACUCCUGUUUGGAACUCUAGCUCUCUGUACGCUCGUUCGACAUGUGUUCUCGGUACCAACUCGUCAAACCGCUUGCCAACAAGCUCCGAUGAUGGAUGUUCCAGUGACUCGAACUCUUUCCCUCCUAUCACCGUACAACACGUGAUACAAACGCUUAAUUGUCCUGACAUGGAGACCAGUGCCGACUCUUCCACUCGUAAACGAGGUACGAACAAGGAGAAUAAGUUCUACCGUCUGAACAACUUUUCGACGGACUGUCCCAGUUCAUACGGUAACUGCCUAUGAAGUUCAAAACCUAAACGUCUAGGUACGGGAACUAAGAACGAGGCUUUCACCUGGACUUUUUUGAUGUUCAAGCUGCUAACGCGCUCCUUGUGUUACCCAAAAGAGACUUAGUAGACUAGGUGGAAGUGGAAGUGGCUGUAGUGUGCGAGGAGACACUGGAGGGUAGUUACUACGGGUCGAUGAAGCGGUUGUUGUAGCUCCUCGAGCACACACUAUCGAUGACGGGACGAAUC
Molecule: ribosomal RNA, 2202 nt
Filed under: Triticum aestivum (bread wheat)
Lineage: Eukaryota; Viridiplantae; Streptophyta; Magnoliopsida; Poales; Poaceae
Description: partial small subunit ribosomal RNA
Source: RNAcentral